Molecule: long non-coding RNA, 586 nt
Organism: Populus nigra (black poplar)
Lineage: Eukaryota; Viridiplantae; Streptophyta; Magnoliopsida; Malpighiales; Salicaceae
Exons: 2
Source: RefSeq, a predicted model, not a curated record
CCUCGCUCACUACCAUGUCUUGAGUAACACAUGCACUAGACGCCGACACCCAUGGUGAUGGUUGCACCACCAUACGCUGGAAUGAGGCCAUGAUCCUCAGUACAAGGUUGAAUAUGUGCUCAAAGGAUAUGGAACUUGUAUUGAACCACAGUUGGGACAAGCCUUCUGAGAAGAACAAAAACAACAAAGGAGAAGCAGGAAACAGAAACAGCUAACAAUGAAAUUAGGAGGGGUUGCAAUAUGUUGAUCAGCUGUGAUCAUCUUUUUUGAGCGUGGAGAUGAAUUGAAGAGCUGGAAUCAGAGAAGUUGUGGUACAAGGAGGAAGGUAGGAUUGAGGCUAAAUAAAUAGAAGGCAAAGAAAACAAACAGAAUAAAGUGGUUGAAACGACAAUUUGGAGAGAGGCUGCAAGAGAAGAAUCUAUGUGCAAACACAUCAACUUUACAAAUUUAUUGGACUGUUUGAUUCCUCCUAUGAUGUGUUGCGUAGUAGGUUUGGAAUUUUCUAGCCUUUUAUGCUUCUAUAUAAUGGAAGCUUUCGCUAGAAAAAGGUUCCAUAUUAUAGUCUUGUUGCCCUUCACAUUUUUUU